CUUUCCCUAUUUCAGAGCUCACCACUGUAUUCUAAACAGAAGCCAAUAGAGGGAGAAAAACAAAGCCAAGUGCAAAAGCUGUGGGCACUGAAAGUUUUGCUCCACCGGCCGCGCAGCACCCACUUGGGGUCGGGCUUUGGGACUUGGGGGAGUCAGGAGCAGGCGGGGGCUGGGGAGAGGACGAGGCCCUGGGGAGGGGCUGGAAAAGGCUUUUCACAGCGACUGGCACUUGAUAUUUCCAAGUCUUCUGGAUGUCACUCACCGGAAACCAGACCCUGCGGUGCGAAGACUCAGGACUCUGUGAUGUGGUGAGCUGGCCUUAUUCACCUUCUCCAUACCUUUCGAGGAUUUGGAUGCGUCUCUUGCACCUAUCUUAGCCGUCUUUCUUCCAUCCUGAAGAGACAUGCAUCUCUGUGGUGGCUCCUCCCUCCCCAAGGUCAUCGUGGCUGACUUGGGACCUUUCCCAGCUCUGUGUGUCUGUCUUGAAACACAGUUUAUCUUCUCUCCAUUGGUGCAUCCCAUAAGUGGCAAAGGCAAAAGCUGGACUGCAUUGUGUGGCCCCAGGGAGCUGCAGACAGAGGAACUGAGUCCUGGCCACUGUGCCUGCUGUCUCUUACAAGUUUAGAGAUGCUGGCAUUGCAUCGAAAUCGGACAACACUCCCUUCCCUCCCUUCCCAGGUACUCCAUUCCCAACCUUUUCCACCAACAGGUCCUUAUUCUCAGAAGCCAAAAAUAAUUUAUUGGUUUCCACUGUUCUCCUUGGCUGAAUCUUCAAGUACACCAACUCCCCCCUCUUCUGGACAGACUCUCCAUAAUUCAGCCAGCAUCUAAUCAGCACCUUGCUUCUCUUCCAUUCUUCCUUUCUCCAGAGUCAUGAUUCUUCCUUCUCAAGUCAAAGAGGAAUUACAAGCAAAUAGACACUAUCCUUGAAUGCAGUUUGGGUUACACAGAAUGGGGAAUGAACUCAAUCUCAUUUUUGCUUCUUUGUUGAAAUAAGCUCAGUAUCUCCCUUGCACAGAGAUUGAAUCGGCUUCACUAAGGCAAGCAGCAUUUCCUCUUUUCUCCCAGUCAGCAUCGCAGCUCUCUGCAUUCCCCUCUCGCAGAGGUGACUAUUCAUUGUGUUCUUUCCAGGAAUGUUUUCUGAGCUUCAGGAGGCCCUGAGUUACCUGGAUAAUUAGUGCUGUCCUUUUGCACAAUGCAAAAACAAAACUAUUAUGAGAUAAUUUCUUUAGCUAAGUUGGGAAUGGGGUUUAAAUGCGUGGGCAAAUAGAUCUGGCAGUCAAAUUCAGACUGUCAUAUUUUGUGAUCCACCCUCCCACCGAUCAUAGCAUAUAAGACUCUGAUGAACUUCACCAGCAACAGGGAAUUCUCCCUCCACUGCAGAUAAAACAAUGACAAUAUGGAAGUGAAAAAUGAAUAAUUCAAAAAUGGAAUUCUCUGUGGGGCUCCGUGCAGUGUGUGUUUCUGUGUGUGCAUGUGUUUUAUACAAGUCUCUGUUACUUUUGUAGUUUGGAUUGGACUUCCGUCGGUCCAUUAAUUUUGUUACUGGAUCCCACCACUUACCCAAAAUUAGCCUUUGGGUUGGGUGUUUCUGCAGUAUAGUCCCUUCUGUGGACACCAGAAAGAUAUUACAGGAAAGGGGUCCUGAUCAAGACCCCCAGAGACGGUUCUUGGACCUGGUUGGGAGGCCGAGGAUCACUUGAGGUCAGGAGUUCGAGACCAGCCUGACCAACAUGG
RNAcentral lists this long non-coding RNA (1737 nucleotides) under Homo sapiens (human). Its description in RNAcentral is "HSALNT0339016". Lineage: Eukaryota; Metazoa; Chordata; Mammalia; Primates; Hominidae. The record is from RNAcentral.